UUUCCGUCCAGUCUCUGAAGCAUCAUUUACCGCUAACGGCCCCUUUAAGAAAGCAGCGCCGAACACUGACGAAAUCUCCUCGGCCCAGCUCCCUGCCAGUUUCUGCGAGAUCAACAAGACGAAGGCAAGCUUAGCUAAUGUUAGUAUCUGCAAGCUCCGGGCGAACGGUGCUAGUCAGGGCAGCUCUCUCCAGUACAGACAGGAGGGAGACGCAACUGGUAUCUUUUUCUCAGUGUUUGCCUAUCUAACCGCUCAACACUCAGCAGGAGACGGAAUUUAGCUAGUCGGUGGACAGACAAGCGGAUAUUGUUGAGGAUGGAUGGACCAAGUGAGCGGUUUUCGCCGUCGUGAGACUGGCGCUAAUUUGGACGUCCUGAGCAGCAGGUGUACUGAAGGAUAAAGCAGACUAAAGGCAAUCUCAGUGUUCAUGAAACUUUGCUACGAUUUACGUGCUGGGGUUGCCGUCAGCCAUGUUAAGGUAAAGCCCAGGUGCGCGGUGUUGACCAUGCUAAAGCGCCUGGACAAAAUCCGCUUCCGAGGCCCCAGGACGAGAGACGACUUUACGGAUCUGGCCGAGUCGCCGCCUGCCUCCGACAACGAAUGUAGCGACGACAUGCAGCUGAAGCCCAGAACAGCUCUGCGAGACACAGAGGAGCUCCUGCGAGACCCUGCAGGUUCGGGGUCUCCUACCAUGGCUGCGGCCAUCCAGGACUUCCAGAGGUCAGAGUCGGACCGACUCAAUGAAGUCAAAGGUCACCUGGAAAUUGCCUUAUUGGAGAAACAUUUCCUACAGGAGGAGCUGAGAAAGCUGCGGGAAGAGACCAAUGUGGACUCUCUGCGGCAGGAGCUGGAGAGAGAGCGAAGCAAGAGGAUAGACCUGGAGCAGAAGAUGAACGAGGUGCUCAAGACCAGGCUGGAGGACUCUCCACCACAGCCUCCCCGGAAACAGCAGUCCCCCUCAAACAAUGGAACAGCAGAUAAACAGCAGAAGGAGGUCUGGAGUUCACGGCUGCAGAAGUGGCUGUACGAGCGUUUCGGGGUUUACAUCGAAGACUUCCGCUUCCAGCCGGAGGAAAGCACCGUGGAGGCCGAGGAACCACUAAGUGCUAAAAGGUUAACAGAAAAUAUGAGGCGACUCAAGCGAGGAGCCAGACCUGUCACCAACUUCUUAAGGAACCUCUCCGCCUUAUCUAAUUGGCACUCCGUCUACACCUCAGCUAUUGCAUUCAUUAUCUACAUGAAUGCUGCUUGGCAUGGCUGGGCCAUUCCUAUGUUACUCUUCCUGGCUAUCCUGCGCUUGUCUUUAAAUUACCUCAUCGCCAGAGGUUGGAGGAUCCAGUGGAGCAUUGUGCCUGAGGUUUAUGAACCCAUGGAGCCUCCAAAGGAAGACUUGACAGUAUCUGAGAAGUUCCAGCUUGUACUUGAUGUUGCACAAAAAGCGCAGAACCUGUUUGGUAAAAUGUCGGAUGUUUUGGAGAAGAUAAAAAACCUGUUCAUGUGGGUGCAGCCGGAGAGCACCCGGAAACUUUAUAUCUGCCUGUGGGUGGCUUUCAUCACCUCCUGCGUCCUACCAUACAAACUUAUGGGCUUCAUGAUGGGCCUGUACGCCGGUAUUAAGUUCUUCAUCAUAGACUUCCUGUUCAAGAGCUGUCCGAAGCUGCGCGACAAGUACGACACACCCCACAUCGUGUGGAACAGCCUUCCCACAGACCCUCAGCUCAAAGAGAGGACCAACGCCACUGUGUCACGGCGGCUCUCUGGCAUUGAGAAGGUUCAGCCGGUGGUUUCCCGGAGCAGCCUCGCUACCAUCCCAUGUGGGGUGAGCAGGGAGGAGGAGACGGGUCGCUCCCACAGCACCAAGAAGGGAGCCUUUUAUGAGAUCUUCAACCUGCCGGAGCCAGAGCGCCCUCUGGCGGUUUGUGAGAACGGCUGGAGGUGUUGCCUAAUAAACAGAGACAGGAAGAUGCCCACAGACUACAUCAGGAACGGAAUGCUCUACGUCACAGAGAACUUGCCUGCUCGUUUUUCCUCAAGACCCCUUUCAGCGAGUUCUUUUCUCUCUCCUUCUCUACGUCAGUUACCUGUGCUUUGAGAGCUCCAGCUCCAGAUCCAACUCCUCCAAGAAGAAUAAAGUUAUCAAGCUGGUGGACAUCACUGACAUACAAAAGUACAAAGUGCUGUCAGUCCUACCAGGAAGUGGGAUGGGCAUCUCUAUAGCUACUCCUUCCACUCAGAAGCCAUUGGUGUUUGGCGCCAUGAUCCACAGAGACGAGGCUUUCGAGGCCAUCUUUACCCAAUACAUGAAGAUCUUGACCACUACCAAACCACCGACCAGCACAGAGCUCUAGGCAGUCUGUAUCCCAGCAACAGACCUCCAUACUGGGGCUGAAGUCUGGGGCAGAGAGCCUCCUGAGAUUCAUCUGGACUGGAAGAUACUUUAAAAAAAAAAACACCACACUCCUCUGCUCUGUGUGAGCCUCCUCCUCCUCCUCCUCUUGUGAUGGACGUCAGCUUCCUCAUCGAAGGUCAUCGGCCAGCUUUGAUUGGUAGAUUUCCUGUUUAGGCCAAGUUUGAGGGGACAUGUGGGUGUGUCGGCUACAUGUAGUUGAGAUUUACUUACAUCAUACUUUUUGUGGGUGUUGGACAAUGAACAAAAUCCGCUUACUGGUUCUGAGGAGGAGUGAGGAUCGAUUUGGUUUUUAUCAAUCAGCAGAAGGCUGGCGAGGGAGCUGGUUCUCCUCUCCCACCUGACUGACCAACUGACUGACUGACUGGUCUGACUGGUUUCCUGACGUACUUGUUUCUGUGUUUGCAUGUGUGUGUGGGUGUGUGAGCCGAAAUGAUGGUCUUAAAUUGCGUCAAGUGGCUCUAUUUUUCUCUUUUUUAGUGAGUCAGUGGAGGGACUUCUACUGUGGUAGGAAGAUUUCAAGAAGUGCUCAGCCUGGCUGUCAAAUGUAUAUCAUAAAACAACUACGUAGAUGAUAAACAAGAGGUUCUUUAAACUGCCAGACAUCUGUAGGAACAAUUAUGUAAAUUUUAGCUUUAUAAAUCAGUGCAAAAACAACCUUUGGAGUUUAAAUACUUAGACUUUUAACUGGCUGAUCGGUGUCUUGUGGCAUAGCCCAACAAAAUUAUAAAUGAGUGUACAUGUGUGAGUGACAUAUUUGUUUUUUUAAUGUGAAAAUGUCAGAUCACCAUUUGACUGACACAGAGCCUUUCUGUUAGUUUACAUUGCUGCUGUCUAAUUUCUUGAGUUUUCCUCUUCUUUCUAGACACAUUUGAGCAGUGACGGUAUGCUUCACUCUUCUUUGUCAACCUAAUGUAAUGUUCAGCAUCCGCUUCCUAAGUGUUUGUAAGUGUGUAUGUGAAACGUGUAGUGAUUUUCUUCUCUUGAAAAAUGCCUUUCUUUUGAAAAAUGUCUCUUUGUAACAAACAGCCUUUGGGAUGAGUAAGUGGUGGUCAAGGGGCUGCUGAGUGCAUCAUAGACGAGAGCACAACCACUGUUAGAGGGUUCAAACACUGACUGCCAUUUAGGGCCACGACACAGCGGAGAACAUAGCCCUCAUGUCUAAAGCUUUUUUUUUUUUCAAGGCAAAAUCUGUACAUAUAUAUAGAGAUUGUCUUUUCUUCCAUCAAUGGUAUUCUCCCCGCACUUUAUUAGAAUGUUAACUGGAAUUUCUGACAUUCACGUCGCAGACUAGACUUUAAAAUGCUCACUACUUUGGCUGGAUUCCAUGGUCAGUGUUGGCAAAUAGUCUCAAAGCUAUGGUAUUUCUGUCUCGUCUGACUACGUGAGUCAGCCCAGAUCACGACCUGCUGUUCUCAGUGCAGCACAAAUGCGGUCUGAGCACUUUGUAUUAACACCAGAUUGAUGUCGGCCACAGCGAGCCCGACAACCUUCAGACUGACCAUAAAAGAAGAAGGUACUUUGACUGGAAAAUGAAACCAUUGGCAGAUUACUUUCCACAAAGGCCCCCACACAUUAAAGCAUUGCUGUAUUUCAGCCUUUGAAUUAUAAAUCUAAACCAAGACCAGUGCAGAAAUAUCCAUUAAACAUCUCAUUCUGAUUGGGUGAUCUUACUUGCAUAAAUGCGCAGCCAGUCAAGCUGUUUGAGGUCACAUAAGCAGUAAUAUAAAUUCAUUUUUUUCAUCAUUCGGAAAACCAGGACUAUGAGCUAUACAAACAUGCCUAAUUACUCUCUUUUUGUUUGCUUAUUUUUUCACGUAUCUGUAAUGCCACAGUGAGUAGAGAUUGACAUUUGCGUGCUCUUCCACUCGUUCCAGAUCAUCCAAAUGUAAUCUUUUGUAAAACCGUAGAGACAGAAUACUUCAACGUCACUUUAUUUUAAAGACACCGUUCACAAGAAUAAAGCCGGUCUUUACUCUUGCAGAAUGAUACGCAAAAAUAUGAUGCCAAACUACAUCAGACACUUUGCUGUGUUUUGUGAGAGGAAUGGAGAUAUGAUCUGGGACUGGAGGUCAUGAUUUCGCUUCAGAUUGUAGUACGAGAAACAGAGUAGCUAUUCCUCCUAAGCAACGCCUAUUUACUGUACGCCCAGCAGCACAAGCUUUAGUUGCUAAUGUGUUAAUCUUACAGAACACUGUUAAGAAGGGAGACCUUGACAUUUAUAUUUCCUUUUAUUCUGGUCAUUUUUACACAUCGCACACUUCUUUUAUAGUUUCAGAUACUAAAUCACGCCUGUGUCACCGCUCCUCAAGAAAUCCAGAUUAUUUUCUCUUAGCUGCCCUUCAGACUUAAAAUGUCAAGGUUUCUUUCAAAAUCUAUACAAGUCCUCUUAUCAUCAUUACCAACUACAAUCAACUGAGCUGGAUAUGAAGUUGCCAGAGAAGCGAUGGACCAGUUCAAAGAACCACUUUAUUAUAUGUUAGUUCAGACUACUGUAAUUAAGGAUGGAGAUUUUUCUUUGACAUCCAUUUGUAUGAUUUGGCCUGUUGUUCAAUAGACUGCCUUCCCAGAAAUGGAUUUUCUAUUUUUGUUUUGGAAUAAAUUGGAUCCAUGAAAGGGGUAAACCUGUGGGAUGUUAGAGCAGGUGAAAAGUAAUUAACGCUGUCUCACUGUGUGAUUUGAUGGCUCGUUGUAGUCCUUAAAGCUUUUACCUGAAGCCUUUUGUAAUCUGUUAACUCUGAAAACCAGCUCUCUGGGGGUCUGGGAGACCCUAACAAGGCUGCACUCAGAGAAAGCACAGAAUGUAUCAUGUUCUAAAUGUCUAAAAAAA
RNA transcript from Sander lucioperca (pikeperch), 5237 nucleotides. It is a transcript of the gene named GRAM domain containing 4a, with no coding region annotated. The transcript is spliced from 20 exons. NCBI's taxonomy places the organism in Eukaryota, Metazoa, Chordata, Actinopteri, Perciformes, Percidae. The record is from RefSeq and is a predicted model, not a curated record.